GGACUACCAGGGUUUCUAAUCCCGUUCGCUCCCCUGGCUUUCGCACCUCAGCGUCAGAUACGUCCCAGGAUGCUGCCUUCGCCUUUGGUGUUCUUCCAGAUCUCUACGCAUUUCACCGCUCCACCUGGAAUUCCGCAUCCCUCUGACAUCCUCAAGUCCUCCAGUUUUCCAAGACCUGUCGGGGUUAAGCCCCAACCUGUCACUCAGAACUUGAAGGACCGCCUGCGUGCGCUUUACGCCCAAUAAAUCCGGACAACGCUUGCCCCCUACGUAUUACCGCGGCUGCUGGCAC
This 292-nucleotide ribosomal RNA is filed under the name uncultured bacterium. Its description in RNAcentral is "partial 16S ribosomal RNA". The record is from RNAcentral.